RNAcentral lists this ribosomal RNA (491 nucleotides) under uncultured bacterium. Its description in RNAcentral is "partial 16S ribosomal RNA". It matches the Rfam family "Bacterial small subunit ribosomal RNA", at positions 29 to 507 of the family's 1533-position model. The record is from RNAcentral.
GUGAACGCUGGCGGUAGGCCUAACACAUGCAAGUCGAACGGCAGCACAGUAAGAGCUUGCUCUUACGGGUGGCGAGUGGCGGACGGGUGAGGAAUACAUCGGAAUCUACUUUUUCGUGGGGGAUAACGUAGGGAAACUUACGCUAAUACCGCAUACGACCUACGGGUGAAAGCAGGGGAUCUUCGGACCUUGCGCGAUUGAAUGAGCCGAUGUCGGAUUAGCUAGUUGGCGGGGUAAAGGCCCACCAAGGCGACGAUCCGUAGCUGGUCUGAGAGGAUGGUCAGCCACGCUGGAACUGAGACACGGUCCAGACUCCUACGGGAGGCAGCAGUGGGGAAUAUUGGACAAUGGGCGCAAGCCUGAUCCAGCCAUACCGCGUGGGUGAAGAAGGCCUUCGGGUUGUAAAGCCCUUUUGUUGGGAAAGAAAAGCAGCAGGUUAAUACCCCGCUGUUCUGACGGUACCCAAAGAAUAGGCACCGGCUAACUUCGUG